Cyanistes caeruleus (blue tit) is the source of this 475-nucleotide long non-coding RNA. RefSeq lists it as uncharacterized. Lineage: Eukaryota; Metazoa; Chordata; Aves; Passeriformes; Paridae. The record is from RefSeq and is a predicted model, not a curated record.
GAGAGCGUGAUGGGCUCUGAGACUGCAGCUUGAUCCCUUCCACUGGCCCUUCCCAGGGGGGCUGUGUCCACAGAGUCAUCUUCAGGAGCAGCAUUUAAGGUGCUAUAAGAAAAAGAGUUUCUGCUUGCUGGACCUGCUGAAAGGAGGAUUCUGGGGGAUUUGUGCCUGAGGAGGGUGGGGAUAAAAACUGCCUCGAUGAAAUUGGGCAGAGUAACACAGAAACAAGUCCCUGAGCAAAAUAUUACUUAAAAGCAUGCAAACAAAAACUGCAGAGGGGUGAUGCUGGUAGUUGGCUGGAAUGGAGCUCUGGGUUCUAAAGCUUCCUGAGCACUCCCCGCUGGAGCUGCCUGCCUGGAAACACCCCUAUCUUCUUACUGCUCUAAGUGAAGGGAUAAUUCAUCUUUGUGUUUUUUCUUCGUUUUUUUUCCCCUUAAACAUUGCCAACCCUGCAAAUUAAAAAUGGACCCAUGAGUAA